GGUAAUCGCUGUAGAGGAGUAUGGGGACUUUGAGCUUGACGGCGGCGGUGGCAACCUCGAUUGGAACGGUGACAAGGGAAGGGCAAGUGCCGUCUAAUAGAAGGAUGUAACUAUUGGGGUUGUAGCUUGAAUCGGCAUCGUCUUCUUCAGGGGGAGGUUUGCAGAGUCCCAGCCGAGUAACGAAAACAAUCACCGUUAAUUUGAGAUAUCUCCAUAAGAAUGCCAAUUUCGGUAAUUCAAUCACAUGGAAUAGGAACCCCAUCACUCACAAAAAGAGUAUAGUUUUUCUUAGUGGAAAAACACAACUGUCAUCACUUUCCCAA
RNAcentral lists this unclassified non-coding RNA (323 nucleotides) under Hevea brasiliensis (rubber tree). Lineage: Eukaryota; Viridiplantae; Streptophyta; Magnoliopsida; Malpighiales; Euphorbiaceae. The record is from RNAcentral.